Molecule: long non-coding RNA, 1481 nt
Organism: Nycticebus coucang (slow loris)
Lineage: Eukaryota; Metazoa; Chordata; Mammalia; Primates; Lorisidae
Exons: 6
Source: RefSeq, a predicted model, not a curated record
CCCAGCACAUCCCUAGGUGUGCCCCUGGGUUAACACGUGUUCUGCCCUUUUCUUGCCACAUUGCGCCAAAUUUAUCGGCCACCUCCUUCCCGUGUAUGCCUGGCUCAGUGCAACAUGCUGAAGAGCUGGUAAGAACAGGGCCUGGCUCCUGCCUCUGGGGAAGGUGGACUACACUCUCCAGCUGGGGUGACACAACGAGCCCUUACCAAUGUGGGCAGGACGUGAAUGCAAGUGAUCUGGGUUCCUCCGGACAUGGAAGGUGAGGAAACAGAAGCUCAGCAAGUUGAAUGCGACCUGCUCAAGGUGCCCCAUAGCCUGGAUCCAGCCAACCAGUAACUGUCUGCGUGGUACCUAGACCUGCUUCCUCUCUUAGGUGUCCAGGAUCAUGACCAGUAAGGAUGCUGUGAGCUGCGACAGCUGCCAGCCAUCUUUCCUGGCAAUGGGGGGACGCAGUCUGCAGAGCAGAGGAUGCAGCCAGCACAGAGGAAAGCCCAGGAGAUGCUGGCAAGUUCCAGUAGUACCUGAACUACUGGGUCUAGCUGGGCUGAAGCUUUGUUACAAGAGUGACUCCCAGCAUCACAACUGGGGUGACUGUUGUCAAGACCCAAGGGGCUUGAGCAGCAGGAAUCAGAGCUCAUUCUGAGGACCACAGCCUGCUGUCAGGGCCUGACUGCAAUGAACCUUCAUGGAGAGUGAUCCAGACUCAGAAUUCCAGUACUGUUUUGUAAACACAGAGGUCAGCAGUCCCUCACAGUACCACUGUGCCAAGGCCUCCCCUCCUCUGAACGUGAGAGGCGCUGCCUGUGGGUCUGCGGUGGUGACAGCCCAGGCCUGGAUUGUUCAGGCAAAAAGCAAACAUGGCCUCUGAGGCGAGGGGGAGAGAGGCCUUCCUUCAGCUCUCCACAGAGGGCUUGCCUGGAUGCCCCGCGUGGCCCUGACAGCACCAGCACCCGGCUCCCUGCUGCAACAAAUGCCUGGGUGCCAUUCUGCAUUACAGGCCGGGAGUAAACCCACUCUGACAGUUGGGCUGCAGUCCACGGAGUGAACUCUGAUUUUCUGCUGCUCAAGCCCGUUGGGUCUUGAGGAUGGGGUCACCGCAGUUGUGAUGCUAGGAGUCACUGGAGUGAUAAAGUCAAAUCCCUUCCACCCGCAGGGUUGUCAGGUUGAGGUCACAUGUUGCCCAAGAGAGUCGAGAGAAGAAAUUCUAUGAAACCUACUUAUAUUUACUCACACUUUCUUAUGAAAGAUAGAACACAACUUCAUCCCAGGAUGAAGCAGAGAAAUGGAGUGGGAAGGGAGGGGCUGGGGAGGUUUGACGGAGGGGAAAGGCGGGACCACACCUAUAGAGCAUAGGGCAAGGGUACAAGUCAAAUCUGUCAAGUGUAGAACAUAGAUGUUUUGGCACAAUAAUCAAGUAAAUGAGGUGAAAGCUGUGCUGAUUGGUUUGAUCUAGGCAUGUCAGAUUGUAUAAAUAAAAAAAA